This 1076-nucleotide ribosomal RNA is filed under the name Myroides marinus. Its description in RNAcentral is "bacterial SSU rRNA". It matches the Rfam family "Bacterial small subunit ribosomal RNA", at positions 67 to 1146 of the family's 1533-position model. The record is from RNAcentral. Lineage: Bacteria; Pseudomonadati; Bacteroidota; Flavobacteriia; Flavobacteriales; Flavobacteriaceae.
GGUAGGAAGAGCUUGCGUUGUUCUGAGACCGGCGCACGGGUGAGUAACGCGUAUGCAAUCUACCUUAUACAGGGGAAUAGCCCAGAGAAAUUUGGAUUAAUGCCCCAUGGUUUAUUGAGAUGGCAUCAUUUUAAUAAUAAAGAUUUAUCGGUAUAAGAUGAGCAUGCGUAUCAUUAGCUAGUUGGUGUGGUAACGGCAUACCAAGGCGACGAUGAUUAGGGGUCCUGAGAGGGAGAUCCCCCACACUGGUACUGAGACACGGACCAGACUCCUACGGGAGGCAGCAGUGAGGAAUAUUGGUCAAUGGAGGCAACUCUGAACCAGCCAUGCCGCGUGCAGGAUGACGGUCCUAUGGAUUGUAAACUGCUUUUGUACAGGAAGAAACAUUACUACGUGUAGUAACUUGACGGUACUGUAAGAAUAAGGAUCGGCUAACUCCGUGCCAGCAGCCGCGGUAAUACGGAGGAUCCGAGCGUUAUCCGGAAUUAUUGGGUUUAAAGGGUUCGUAGGCGGUUAGAUAAGUCAGUGGUGAAAUUUCCUAGCUUAACUAGGGCACUGCCAUUGAUACUGUUUGACUUGAAUAGUAUGGAAGUAACUAGAAUAUGUAGUGUAGCGGUGAAAUGCUUAGAUAUUACAUGGAAUACCAAUUGCGAAGGCAGGUUACUACGUACUUAUUGACGCUGAUGAACGAAAGCGUGGGGAGCGAACAGGAUUAGAUACCCUGGUAGUCCACGCCGUAAACGAUGGAUACUAGCUGUUCGGUCUUCGGAUUGAGUGGCUAAGCGAAAGUGAUAAGUAUCCCACCUGGGGAGUACGUUCGCAAGAAUGAAACUCAAAGGAAUUGACGGGGGCCCGCACAAGCGGUGGAGCAUGUGGUUUAAUUCUAUGAUACGCGAGGAACCUUACCAGGGCUUAAAUGUAGAUUGACAGAUUUGGAAACAGAUUUUUCUUCGGACAAUUUACAAGGUGCUGCAUGGUUGGCGUCAGCUCCUGCCGUGAGGGGUCAGGUUAAGUCCUAUAACGAACGCAACCCCUAUUGUUAUUUGCCAGCGAGUAAAGGCCGGGAACUUUAGCAA